GACGAACGCUGGCGGCGUGCUUAACACAUGCAAGUCGAACGGAAAGGCCCUGCUUUUGUGGGGUGCUCGAGUGGCGAACGGGUGAGUAACACGUGAGUAACCUGCCCUUGACUUUGGGAUAACUUCAGGAAACUGGGGCUAAUACCGGAUAGGAGCUCCUGCUGCAUGGUGGGGGUUGGAAAGUUUCGGCGGUUGGGGAUGGACUCGCGGCUUAUCAGCUUGUUGGUGGGGUAGUGGCUUACCAAGGCUUUGACGGGUAGCCGGCCUGAGAGGGUGACCGGCGACAUGGGGACUGAGAGACGGCCCAGAGUCCUACGGGAGGCAGCAGUGGGGAAUAUUGCACAAUGGGCGGAAGCCUGAUGCAGCAACGCCGCGUGCGGGAUGACGGCCUUCGGGUUGUAAACCGCUUUCGCCUGUGACGAAGCGUGAGUGACGGUAAUGGGUAAAGAAGCACCGGCUAACUACGUG
Molecule: ribosomal RNA, 468 nt
Filed under: uncultured bacterium
Lineage: Bacteria
Description: partial 16S ribosomal RNA
Rfam family: Bacterial small subunit ribosomal RNA
Source: RNAcentral